AUGUACCGUGGCAGCGAGUUCGGGUACGCGAAGCUUGUGGCCACGAGGGAGAAGUUGACACUGAUGUACAUUGGGAACCAUGAUGGGCAAGUCCAUGACAUGGUCGAAAUACUGUCGCCGCAAGUCGGUGCCGCCGGCGGUGCGCCUGGUAAGUUGGUCGGUGCGAUGCCGGAGAAGAUGAGGUACCUGGGACUUGCCGGCGGCGUGGUGCUUGCCAUGCUGCUCGGUUUCAUGGCUGGCUUUGCUGUUAGAAAGAAGAAGGCGGGCUCUGCAGGAUGGAGUCCUGUACAAGAUGAGGAGUCCUGA
RNAcentral lists this ribosomal RNA (306 nucleotides) under Triticum aestivum (bread wheat). Its description in RNAcentral is "partial small subunit ribosomal RNA". The record is from RNAcentral. Lineage: Eukaryota; Viridiplantae; Streptophyta; Magnoliopsida; Poales; Poaceae.